RNAcentral lists this ribosomal RNA (253 nucleotides) under uncultured bacterium. RNAcentral describes it as "partial 16S ribosomal RNA". It matches the Rfam family "Bacterial small subunit ribosomal RNA", at positions 524 to 776 of the family's 1533-position model. The record is from RNAcentral.
UACGUAGGGUGCAAGCGUUACUCGGAAUUACUGGGCGUAAAGCGUGCGCAGGCGGCUUUGCAAGUCAGCUGUGAAAUCCCCGGGCUUAACCUGGGAACUGCAUUUGUGACUGCAUGGCUGGAGUGCGGCAGAGGGGGAUGGAAUUCCGCGUGUAGCAGUGAAAUGCGUAGAUAUGCGGAGGAACACCGAUGGCGAAGGCAAUCCCCUGGGCCUGCACUGACGCUCAUGCACGAAAGCGUGGGGAGCAAACAGG